UCAGACGAUGCGUCAUGCAUAUCAAUAAGCGGAGGAAAAGAAACUAACAAGGAUUCCCCUAGUAACGGCGAGUGAAGCGGGAAGAGCUCAAAUUUGAAAUCUUAAAGGGUUUCCCUUUACGAAUUGUAGUUUAAAGAAGUGUUUUCUGUUGAGGUUUUGGUAAAAGUUCUUUGGAAUAGGACAUCAUAGAGGGUGAGAAUCCCGUAUUUGACCUUUACUUUCAACUUUGUGAUACACUUUCAAAGAGUCGGAUUGUUUGGGAAUGCAGUCCAAAAUGGGUGGUAAAUUUCAUCUAAAGCUAAAUAUUGGCGAGAGACCGAUAGCGAACAAGUACCGUGAGGGAAAGAUGAAAAGAACUUUGAAAAGAGAGUUAAACAGUACGUGAAAUUGUCAAAAGGGAAGCGUUUGACACCAGUGUUGUUUUUCUGAAAAUCAAUUAAAGAACUGUUUAUGCUAAGCUGUUUAGACUUUAUCAGCUAUCUGUUUAGUUUUGAGCUUUUCUUUAAUGCACUUUCAGUUAACAAGUCAACAUACAAUUUCUUUUGCUGUAAAAAAGCUUGAGGAAGGUGGCUUGAGAUUCGUCUUAAGUGUUUAUAGCCUCUUGCCUAUGCAGUCGGAGAGAUUGAGGUCUGCAGCGUAGAUCCUUCGGGGCUAAAUGCAUUUGUGCUAAGUUAUAGCAUUUUAUAGACAACUUGUUGACUAUGAUUUGUCUUGUAGCUUACUCGCUUAUGUUAUUUUACCUACGCUUAGGAUGUUGACACACGCGCGUGCUCG
RNAcentral lists this ribosomal RNA (774 nucleotides) under uncultured Neocallimastigales. RNAcentral describes it as "partial large subunit ribosomal RNA". It matches the Rfam family "Eukaryotic large subunit ribosomal RNA", at positions 18 to 656 of the family's 3401-position model. Lineage: Eukaryota; Fungi; Neocallimastigomycota; Neocallimastigomycetes; Neocallimastigales. The record is from RNAcentral.